CAGUCGAUAGGUCUUUAGACAUUACAGAGAACCCCGAACAACCCAAACUGCUAAUCUUCAAUACCGCUUUAUACUCACAAUCUUGUAUCCACUGACUGUCUUGUUAGAUUAACCCAAUAAAUUUCAUUCACUCUGCAUACUCAAUCCUAUAGACACCCUUUUAAUUCUUCAUCACAGUCGUAACUCGAUUUCACAAAAUAGUUAAGAGUAAUCACACCCACUUCAUUAAAAUCCCGAUUCACCAAUACAACACUGACUUUAGCAACGAUUGCCUCAGUCUUCCUAAAACCCUAUGAAGAAAUAAAACCCCAAUUCUUUGUCUUUUUUCCCCGCCCCGAAGCAUGAAGCUAGCUCUUCGACCCUUCUCAAAACUUUUUCUCUCCCCCCAAAACCUU
RNAcentral lists this long non-coding RNA (395 nucleotides) under Physcomitrium patens. RNAcentral describes it as "long non-coding RNA (PPAT_LNC002517)". The record is from RNAcentral. Lineage: Eukaryota; Viridiplantae; Streptophyta; Bryopsida; Funariales; Funariaceae.